This 496-nucleotide ribosomal RNA is filed under the name uncultured bacterium. RNAcentral's name for it is "partial 16S ribosomal RNA". It matches the Rfam family "Bacterial small subunit ribosomal RNA", at positions 29 to 507 of the family's 1533-position model. The record is from RNAcentral.
AUGCACGCUGGCGGCGUGCCUAAUACCUGCAAGUCGAGCGAACAGACGAGGAGCUUGCUCCUCUGACGUUAGCGGCGGACGGGUGAGUAACACGUGGAUAACCUACCUAUAAGACUGGGAUAACUUCGGGAAACCGGAGCUAAUACCGGAUAACAUGUUGAACCGCAUGGUUCAACAGUGAAAGACGGUCUUGCUGUCACUUAUAGAUGGAUCCGCGCCGCAUUAGCUAGUUGGUAAGGUAACGGCUUACAAAGGCAACGAUGCGUAGCCGACCUGAGAGGGUGAUCGGCCACACUGGAACUGAGACACGGUCCAGACUCCUACGGGAGGCAGCAGUAGGGAAUCUUCCGCAAUGGGCGAAAGCCUGACGGAGCAACGCCGCGUGAGUGAAGAAGGUCUUCGGAUCGUAAAACUCUGUUAUUAGGGAAGAACAAAUGUGUAAGUAACUAUGCACGUCUUGACGGUACCUAAUCAGAAAGCCACGGCUAACUACGUG